CCUCAUACAGGGGAGUAACAGUUAGAAAUGACUGCUAAUACCGCAUAAGCGCACAGUGCUGCAUGGCACAGUGUGAAAAACUCCGGUGGUAUGAGAUGGACCCGCGUCUGAUUAGCUAGUUGGUGGGGUAACGGCCUACCAAGGCGACGAUCAGUAGCCGGCCUGAGAGGGUGAACGGCCACAUUGGGACUGAGACACGGCCCAAACUCCUACGGGAGGCAGCAUG
RNAcentral lists this ribosomal RNA (226 nucleotides) under uncultured bacterium. RNAcentral describes it as "partial 16S ribosomal RNA". It matches the Rfam family "Bacterial small subunit ribosomal RNA", at positions 129 to 353 of the family's 1533-position model. The record is from RNAcentral.